CGGUAAGUGUCUUGCCGUUUAUUGAUCGUACAAACGGCACUGUUUUUGAUUCUGGAAUGUCAAAUUUUGUGUUCAAGUCUCUGACAAACGGACCGGUCCAAAACUUAUCCUGAAACGGCAUAUAACAUAACCUGAAACUAUAAGCCAAAUUUGGUAAAUAAAAUAUCAGUGUUCAAACCACACGUGGAUUGAAUUUGACUAAUUGACUUGUGGACUUUGUGUGUGUUUUUAAUAGAUUUAACGAGUGCUUAGAAACGACACGAUUUGUUCUCUCCAAUAAGAGAUAUUUGUGUUGGUCUCUAAGG
Arabidopsis thaliana (thale cress) is the source of this 305-nucleotide long non-coding RNA. RefSeq annotates it as other RNA. NCBI's taxonomy places the organism in Eukaryota, Viridiplantae, Streptophyta, Magnoliopsida, Brassicales, Brassicaceae. The record is from RefSeq. The transcript has a single exon.